This 550-nucleotide small RNA is filed under the name Pongo abelii (Sumatran orangutan). RNAcentral describes it as "processed transcript". Lineage: Eukaryota; Metazoa; Chordata; Mammalia; Primates; Hominidae. The record is from RNAcentral.
UAAUAGAGAAGGUGCCAGAAAGAUCCAAAACAAGUGGCUGCGGCCGUCGCCCGGGAGUCACCGGACGCCAGAAUCUGUGUCUCCAGAACGCUAUAGCUAUGGCACCUCCAGCUCUUCAAAGAGGACAGAGGGUAGCUGCCGUCGCCGUCGGCAGUCAAGCAGUUCUGCAAAUUCUCAGCAGGGCUCCGCCCCAACCAAGCGGCAGCGACGGAGUCGGGGCCGGCCCAGUGGUGGUGCGAGACGGCGGCGGAGAGGGGCCCCAGCCGCACCCCAGCAGCAGCCAGAGCCCGCCAGACCUUCCUCUGAAGGCAAAGUGACCUGUGACAUCCGGCUCCGGGUUCGAGCAGAGUACUGCGAGCAUGGGCCAGCCUUGGAGCAGGGCGUGGCAUCCCGGCGGCCCCAGGCGCUGGCGCGGCAGCUGGACGUGUUUGGGCAGGCCACCGCAGUGCUGCGCUCAAGGGACCUGGGCUCCGUGGUUUGUGACAUCAAGUUCUCAGAGCUCUCCUAUCUGGACGCCUUCUGGGGCGACUACCUGAGUGGCGCCCUGCUG